GGUAUCCUGUCUGAAUAUGGGGGGACCAUCCUCCAAGGCUAAAUACUCCUGACUGACCGAUAGUGAACCAGUACCGUGAGGGAAAGGCGAAAAGAACCCCGGCGAGGGGAGUGAAAAAGAACCUGAAACCGUGUACGUACAAGCAGUGGGAGCACGCUUAGGCGUGUGACUGCGUACCUUUUGUAUAAUGGGUCAGCGACUUAUAUUCUGUAGCAAGGUUAACCGAAUAGGGGAGCCGAAGGGAAACCGAGUCUUAACUGGGCGUUAAGUUGCAGGGUAUAGACCCGAAACCCGGUGAUCUAGCCAUGGGCAGGUUGAAGGUUGGGUAACACUAACUGGAGGACCGAACCGACUAAUGUUGAAAAAUUAGCGGAUGACUUGUGGCUGGGGGUGAAAGGCCAAUCAAACCGGGAGAUAGCUGGUUCUCCCCGAAAGCUAUUUAGGUAGCGCCUCGUGAAUUCAUCUCCGGGGGUAGAGCACUGUUUCGGCAAGGGGGUCAUCCCGACUUACCAACCCGAUGCAAACUGCGAAUACCGGAGAAUGUUAUCACGGGAGACACACGGCGGGUGCUAACGUCCGUCGUGAAGAGGGAAACAACCCAGACCGCCAGCUAAGGUCCCAAAGUCAUGGUUAAGUGGGAAACGAUGUGGGAAGGCCCAGACAGCCAGGAUGUUGGCUUAGAAGCAGCCAUCAUUUAAAGAAAGCGUAAUAGCUCACUGGUCGAGUCGGCCUGCGCGGAAGAUGUAACGGGGCUAAACCAUGCACCGAAGCUGCGGCAGCGACGCUGAUGCGUUGUUGGGUAGGGGAGCGUUCUGUAAGCCUGCGAAGGUGUGCUGUGAGGCAUGCUGGAGGUAUCAGAAGUGCGAAUGCUGACAUAAGUAACGAUAAAGCGGGUGAAAAGCCCGCUCGCCGGAAGACCAAGGGUUCCUGUCCAACGUUAAUCGGGGCAGGGUGAGUCGACCCCUAAGGCGAGGCCGAAAGGCGUAGUCGAUGGGAAACAGGUUAAUAUUCCUGUACUUGGUGUUACUGCGAAGGGGGGACGGAGAAGGCUAUGUUGGCCGGGCGACGGUUGUCCCGGUUUAAGCGUGUAGGCUGGU
Molecule: ribosomal RNA, 1097 nt
Filed under: Escherichia coli
Lineage: Bacteria; Pseudomonadati; Pseudomonadota; Gammaproteobacteria; Enterobacterales; Enterobacteriaceae
Description: partial 23S ribosomal RNA
Rfam family: Bacterial large subunit ribosomal RNA
Source: RNAcentral